RNAcentral lists this small RNA (60 nucleotides) under Cytobacillus oceanisediminis. RNAcentral's name for it is "Bacillaceae-1 RNA". It matches the Rfam family "Bacillaceae-1 RNA". The record is from RNAcentral. Lineage: Bacteria; Bacillati; Bacillota; Bacilli; Caryophanales; Bacillaceae.
UAAAAUUGAACGCAGACUAAAGCGGCCACGUCCUGUGGCAGCGUCUGUAUGACCUGCGGG